Molecule: ribosomal RNA, 71 nt
Filed under: Pseudomonas aeruginosa
Lineage: Bacteria; Pseudomonadati; Pseudomonadota; Gammaproteobacteria; Pseudomonadales; Pseudomonadaceae
Also listed under: 1 other name
Source: RNAcentral
CCUGGCGGCCUUAGCGCGGUGGUCCCACCUGACCCCAUGCCGAACUCAGAAGUGAAACGCCGUAGCGCCGA